UGGGGAAUAUUGGACAAUGGGCGCAAGCCUGAUCCAGCCAUGCCGCGUGGGUGAAGAAGGCCUUAGGGUUGUAAACCCCUUUCAGCGGGGAAGAUAAUGACGGUACCCGCAGAAGAAGUCCCGGCUAACUCCGUGCCAGCAGCCGCGGUAAUACGGAGGGGACUAGCGUUGUUCGGAAUUACUGGGCGUAAAGCGCACGUAGGCGGAUUCGUAAGUCAGGGGUGAAAUCCCGAGGCUCAACCUCGGAACUGCCUUUGAUACUGCGAAUCUCGAGUCCGGAAGAGGUGAGUGGAAUUCCUAGUGUAGAGGUGAAAUUCGUAGAUAUUAGGAAGAACACCAGUGGCGAAGGCGGCUCACUGGUCCGGUACUGACGCUGAGGCGCGAAAGCGUGGGGAGCAA
RNAcentral lists this ribosomal RNA (399 nucleotides) under uncultured bacterium. Its description in RNAcentral is "bacterial SSU rRNA". It matches the Rfam family "Bacterial small subunit ribosomal RNA", at positions 355 to 771 of the family's 1533-position model. The record is from RNAcentral.